RNAcentral lists this transfer RNA (72 nucleotides) under Ictidomys tridecemlineatus (thirteen-lined ground squirrel). Its description in RNAcentral is "Spermophilus tridecemlineatus (thirteen-lined ground squirrel) tRNA". It matches the Rfam family "tRNA". From Rfam's summary of the family: Transfer RNA (tRNA) molecules are approximately 80 nucleotides in length. Their secondary structure includes four short double-helical elements and three loops (D, anti-codon, and T loops). Further hydrogen bonds mediate the characteristic L-shaped molecular structure. tRNAs have two regions of fundamental functional importance: the anti-codon, which is responsible for specific mRNA codon recognition, and the 3' end, to which the tRNAs corresponding amino acid is attached (by aminoacyl-tRNA synthetases). tRNAs cope with the degeneracy of the genetic code in two manners: having more than one tRNA (with a specific anti-codon) for a particular amino acid; and 'wobble' base-pairing, i.e. permitting non-standard base-pairing at the 3rd anti-codon position. The record is from Rfam by way of RNAcentral. Lineage: Eukaryota; Metazoa; Chordata; Mammalia; Rodentia; Sciuridae.
AGGGAUGUGGCUCAUUCGUAGAGUUCUUGCUUGGAAAGCAUGAGGCCCUGGGUUCAAGUCCCAGCACCAUGA